RNAcentral lists this long non-coding RNA (3930 nucleotides) under Fragaria vesca (wild strawberry). Its description in RNAcentral is "long non-coding RNA (FVES_LNC005635)". Lineage: Eukaryota; Viridiplantae; Streptophyta; Magnoliopsida; Rosales; Rosaceae. The record is from RNAcentral.
UAACUUCGGCAGAAUAAUUGGAGCAAGUACGGAAACAGAGAGCAACAAGAUCGUUCUUCCACAGUUGAAGAACUUACUUCUAGACCGUCUUCAAGUCACAAGGUUGUUCAGUACUAGACUACUAGCAGUGGUACUGUUGAAGUAUUGAUAUUGAAAUCAAGUGUUCUUCAUUGGAACACUUGCAUGUCUGUCAAUGACUUCCCCCAGAUUUCAAUCUCUGCAUCUGACUUCAACAACAUUAACCAAGUCCCACUAAAUCAUGGACAACAUUAUACCACAUUACAGGAGAGGAUUAAGAAAGUAUUACGUCUCUGGCAGUUCUAUGCACUCUAGAGGUAUGUCUUGUACUAUAAUGAUGAUUUUAACCCCGUCAGAGGUUAUUCUCAACUUUAACAACUUGAAAUGGCGCCAAGGCUGGCCUUCAAUACUAUUUAGAGGUGUUUUGGUAAUAUAGAUCUCUGUCAAUCUUUGGGUUUAAUGAUCUACCCAACAAUUGCAAUUUGCUUCUUUUCAUUUUAGUAAUCAACUGAUGCUGAUAAUGGAUUUCUGCAAAAGCAUAAAACAAACUUAGAGAUUUCAUGUAGACACUCAGACAUUCAUCUUGGUGAAUUUGUUGUUCAUUUACUAUAAGAAUACAAAUUGCAGAUAAAUGAGGUAGUCAUUGUGUUAAAUUAAUUUUUUGAUCAGCUGGAUGCAUAUUCAGAUAGAUUAUAUUAUUGGAUAAAUGAUGCAUUCUGAUCUAUAGCUUUUUUCCGACUUUCUGCAACUCUAAAUAUAAAUUAUACGGUUUGGAUUCAAUCCACAAACAUGGCAAGUCAAAAUAAACGACAUUCUCUCUUUUCAAGCUGCUUGGAGCUUUUCAAUUAUUCUCAUGAAAAAAGUGCUUGUUAUCAGUUUUUCAUUUAUAUUUUGGGUGAGUUCACAGUUGCAAAGUCACUUGAUCGAUGCACUAGAAGAUUUCUUAAAAAAUAUAUAUAUAUAUUAAAAACGUUUAUGUAGUUCAAUUAUAAUUAUUACAAUUACUUUAGUGAGUUUUUCUGUUGGAGAGACUUGUUUCGGUUAUAUAUGUGUUGAUGCAUGUUUUGGAGAACCUAGAAAGUAUUUGUGUUUGAGUUGUAAAAUUUGUACUUUCUAAAUCAUGCUAGUGUUAUUGUUUUUUCUAUGCUAAUGUAUUGCUCAUCUUUCAUAUAUUACCCUUGUAUUACUAAUUAAAGGUUUUAUCUCUUAGAUUUACUAAUUCUGAAAACCAAAUUUGGAAAGGCUUGGUCUUGGCGUUGGAGACUGAGAUGAGUAUGAAUCGAUUCUCUGUUUAUUUUUAGCCAAUUUUCAUUUCCUCAGUCGAUUUCAUUUCAGCUGCUCAUAUUUGAAAGCAAUCUCCUACCCGAUUUUUCUUUGACGUCUCAACUGUAACCUUAAUCAGAUGGCACAAAACCCAUCUUUCUCAUUUGACGCAAAUCUCCAGCUGCCAUUUCUGUCUUGGACUACUGAUUUUGGGCUACAUUUUAUACAAUGGGCUGCAAAAGAGGGGAACCACAACAUUCGUGGAUGAUAGACUUCUUGUACCAGGUCAUGUUAUUUCUCCCUCUAACGUAGAGGCAAUGAAAUUGUUGUCUUGUUCUGUCCCAAAAUUAUGCUGCUGCUUCUGCUAGGUGUUUGAGAGAACUAGUAGAUAUUUUUCAGUGCAUGGAGGACUGCAAGAGAAUUCUUCCAAUUUUUCAUAAUGUGAGAUAUCAGAAAGGAGUUUUGGAGAAACUUUGGAUAACCAUGAAAGGAUGUCUGUGCGAUACGAAUCUGAGAAGGUCCAGUGGAGAGAUGCUUUAACAAUAGUGGCCAGUUUGGUUGAGUGCGUGGGAUUAACAUAAUUACAAGUAAGCAUCAUCAAUUACUAAGAGUUAUACUUGUGCUUAUUCAUAUAGCUGACCAUUAUUUCACCCUUAACUCUUCCUUUUAGAUUGACAGAGAACUUCUCGACUCCAUUGUGUGCAGUAAAGUACAACCUAUUGAAAUCAACACGAGAGAUUUUGAAGCAUCGGAACCACCAAUUAUUGAAACUGAGCCUACAAUAUCGGAAUCAAAUGAAGAAUUUGAAGUACUUGAAGCAAGACGACGAGCUACUAAUGUGACUGAAUAUUUUGAACUAGUAGAAGCAACCACACAAACCACUAACGGAAACUGUGAGUUACUCGAUUUUUAGCUCUCUAUUGUCACUUCCUUAUGAUCUGUCACCCUCCCUUCAUGUCUGUUUUUCGCUGUGGUUUCCCUCUAAUCUGUUUCUCUUUGUUAGUUUCUUGACUGUUCUUGAUUAUUCAUUAUGGUAUUCAAACUUUGGGAGUUGGGUUAUUGACAAGAUGCAGCUUAAAAGACCAGAAAACAAUGGCUAACCUACGAAAAAUUAAACAGACAAUGUCCCUUUUCUUAAUAUAGGAUUAUGGGGAUGCUCAAAACUAAAUGUUUAGUUAAACUUAGGACACUGGACAUCUACCACUAGUUGUGUUUAGGGUUUGGGGUUUAGUAAACAAAGACGUGAAUCACGUGAUCAAAUUUGGGGCUCUGUGUGUAGCUUAUUUUCAUGGAGUUAAUUAGAUAGUCUCUCUGCCAUCAAAUAAAUCCACCCAUUCUUGUGAUUUCAAAAGUAAAUUACAUACAUACUUUCAAAAAAGAAGAAGCAAAUUACAUAAUUAUUAUACAUUCAAGUUCAAUGGGCAAUGACAAUGAUCUCAACAGAGAUUGGAGAAUCCUAGCUAGUAAGAGUGAAGUGAUUAGUUGAAUUGGUCUUGAAUUGAAUUGGCCUUGUUAUAAGGAUGUGAUAUCAGAAGUGUUAGAAGGGUUAUGAGUUAUGACUAGCUUGAUGUGUAGAACUUAGAAAUGUUAGAAUGGUUUUGGUAAAAAAGAAAGCAGAGUUCUGCAAGACCUAAGGUCAAGAUGCCAUAGGACCCAAAAGCACCAAUAAUUUGGACUAGAUGAUUUGCUAUGCUAUAAAAACAAAAAUUAUCCCCCAAUGUAGUUAAUUUACUCAUGAUGGUUACAAUAAAUUCAGUGAUUUUUUCUGUUUUAAUUUCAUUUGGACCAGAUGGUUACGGAGGCCUGUUUCAGCUACAAACACAUCAAGGCUGGUUAUCUAGCUAGCUGGGAACUCGUAUGCGAUGGACAAAAAGAUGCUAAAGGCAUCCUAACUGAGAGUGAAGUGAUCAGUUGGCAUGCUCUGGGAAAUGUCUCAAGGUAUUCUUGCCGCUGGGUUUGGAUUUUUUACCAGUUUGCUGUAAUCCAGUAAGUGCUAAAUGCUCUAGAAAUAGAAUUGCUUGAUGUGUAGAACGUAGAAAUGUUAGAUGGUUUUGGUAAAAAAGAAAGCAGAGUCCUGCAAGAACCAAGGUCAAGAUGCCAUAGGAAUAAUUAGGCGCUCAUAAACAAUGAAAGAUAUUUUCGAGGCCAUCGUAUUCAACUAGAACGAAGUAUCAAACAUUACAAUAACACAAAUUGGAACGACUUGUAAACGUUGUCUGGCUACCUACUAAUCACGGGGUGAGAUAAAUUAGAGAACUGUUUGAUAUCAUUUUCACACAUUUUAAAGUAUUAAGCAGGUUUCGGCUUAAUUGUUUAUGUUGCAUAUCGGAGAUGACCUUUCAAUCUUCUCAUAUUUUUCGUGAAGGGAAUAAGGUUGCAGAUGUUCUGGCUAAUCACAGUACGUCAUUAACACAGCUGGUUUGGUGGGAUUCACCUCCUCCUUUUAUUUUGUCAUAUUGUAGUAGUGACCUUAUGGGUCUUCCCCAAUUUUGGUUUUCAUAGUUUUGUUUCGUUUCGUUGUUAUUUUGCAAUGAGAGGUUUUGGUCUAAUCCCCCUCUCUUGAUAUUUCUCUCUUUUCUUUUUUAUUACAUAAAAAUGUUAGGAGUCAUUUCGCUCUCACACAUCUUUCAGCCGAAAAAAAAAAAUCAG